GAGGCAAGAUUAUAAGUUUAAGGUCAUGAUCGGCACACUGUGAAACUACACAAUCAUGUAUUUACAACUUCGCAUAUUAUUGGUACUACUACUUUCUUGUUUUUUUUUCGGUCGGAGGCGAAAAGGUACGCGGGCGCGGACGUUAAACAACGAAAAAAGAAAGGGUGGCCUAACGGAUGCAAACUAUCCAAGAGUUUCAGUACAUGUACCAAAUACAACAACCAUGAUAACGGUGUGUGCUUUUCUUCCAUUGUAAUUUGCUCCAUACGCAGGAUCAGCCCCAGCAUACUCAAAGCCCUAUGCCGAUAGCAUUCCUGAAGUCCCGUCUAGUAAAGACGUCUAUGAAGCGGUGUGCAUCAGGAAGUGUCGGCCUCCCUUGCCGAAACAUUGGCUGGAAAAUGAGGUGCUGAGUGUCAUUCAUCGUAUCAUCAACACGUCCUGGAAGGAACACGGCCAGAAACGCUUCUCAGCCAAUCGAAUCUGGCGCAAUGUCCAAGCCCUGGAGACUGUGAAAGUAAAACGGCCAGACAACACUGUAACGUGAAACGGAAUGACUGCGUACACCUCACGCAAUCGCAUCCCUUGCCCCGUUUCUCAACAAGACACAUCCUCGCCAAAAAGAACUGAUUUAAAGCAUACUUGACUCGAAUGCCUUGUUUGCAGGAGCGGUAGAUGCACGCUUCUAUAACCCCUACCAAAACUGGUCACAGCGAAACCAAUCACAAGGAACAGAAUAAUAGGAGAGAAUUCACACGCUAAGGAGCUGGCUAAGGCUGUGGCCGGAACGCUAGGCACUUGAACAAGCAAAUGGCUUCCAUACAGUCCCUCAAACUGUACCUUGACUACCCCACUGCAGGCUAAAAAGCACAUGAGAAAAAACUAUUUUCAACUCAAUUUUAUUGCUAUUCGAUUUGUGUAUAUAGCUCUCUGGUUUCCAGAUCACCGAUGAGCCGCUCUAUCUUUAAAGUAUAUUAUUUAAUUCUAUAGAGCGUAUGGAGUACAUGCAUAUAAUAAACGUAGAGCCGGACGAUUUAUUGCAAUCUUGUCCAUGAUUACGUACAUGUACGGGUAGUUGUAUAACUGAACGCGAGGCAAGGCCCAAGUUGU
Long non-coding RNA from Sycon ciliatum, 1107 nucleotides. RefSeq lists it as uncharacterized. Lineage: Eukaryota; Metazoa; Porifera; Calcarea; Leucosolenida; Sycettidae. The transcript has 2 exons. The record is from RefSeq and is a predicted model, not a curated record.